AACUUCACAAAACUUGAAAUCUUACAGAAAAAGGAGGCAGAAUAAACCUAUCCUAUGUACACCUCAGCCUAGGCCACUGUGCCUGGUCUGCAUUGUGAAUGGUGAAACAUGG
Molecule: small nucleolar RNA, 112 nt
Organism: Mus pahari (shrew mouse)
Lineage: Eukaryota; Metazoa; Chordata; Mammalia; Rodentia; Muridae
Product: small nucleolar RNA SNORA51
Exons: 1
Source: RefSeq, a predicted model, not a curated record